This 460-nucleotide ribosomal RNA is filed under the name uncultured bacterium. RNAcentral describes it as "partial 16S ribosomal RNA". It matches the Rfam family "Bacterial small subunit ribosomal RNA", at positions 338 to 795 of the family's 1533-position model. The record is from RNAcentral.
CCUACGGGUGGCAGCAGUGAGGAAUAUUGGUCAAUGGACGAGAGUCUGAACCAGCCAAGUAGCGUGAAGGAUGACUGCCCUAUGGGUUGUAAACUUCUUUUAUAUGGGAAUAAAAUGUUCCACGUGUGGGAUUUUGUAUGUACCAUAUGAAUAAGGAUCGGCUAACUCCGUGCCAGCAGCCGCGGUAAUAAGGAGGAUCCGAGCGUUAUCCGGAUUUAUUGGGUGUAAAGGGAGCGUAGGUGGAUUGUUAAGUCAGUUGUGAAAGUUUGCGGCUCAACCGUAAAAUUGCAGUUGAAACUGGCAGUCUUGAGUACAGUAGAGGUGGGCGGAAUUCGUGGUGUAGCGGUGAAAUGCUUAGAUAUCACGAAGAACUCCGAUUGCGAAGGCAGUUCACUGGACUGCAACUGACACUGAGGCUCGAAAGUGUGGGUAUCAAACAGGAUUAGAUACCCCGGUAGUA